CGCGUGUGUGAAGAAGGCCUUCGGGUUGUAAAGCACUUUCAGCUGUGAGGAAAGGCGAGUGGUUAAUACCCGCUUGCUGUGACGUUAACAGCAGAAGAAGGACCGGCUAACUCCGUGCCAGCAGCCGCGGUAAUACGGAGGGUCCGAGCGUUAAUCGGAAUUACUGGGCGUAAAGCGCGCGUAGGUGGUUCAGUCAGUCAGAUGUGAAAGCCCCGGGCUCAACCUGGGAACUGCACCUGAUACUGCUGAGCUAGAGUACGGUAGAGGGCAGUGGAAUUUCCGGUGUAGCGGUGAAAUGCGUAGAGAUCGGAAGGAACACCAGUGGCGAAGGCGACUGCCUGGACCGAUACUGACACUGAGGUGCGAAAGCGUGGGUAGCAAACAGGAUUAGAUACCCUGGUAGUCCACGCCGUAAACGAUGUCAACUAGCCGUUGGGGGACUUGAUCCUUUAGUGGCGAAGCUAA
Molecule: ribosomal RNA, 465 nt
Filed under: uncultured Marinobacterium sp.
Lineage: Bacteria; Pseudomonadati; Pseudomonadota; Gammaproteobacteria; Oceanospirillales; Oceanospirillaceae
Description: bacterial SSU rRNA
Rfam family: Bacterial small subunit ribosomal RNA
Source: RNAcentral